AGUCCCCUUUUCCUUUGUCCUGUGAAUGCAAAGCAGGAAGCUUUUAUUGGAGGCAGGUUGUGCGAGAGGACGUGAGGAGCUGACUGAACAGCAGGUGUGCUUAGUUCCAAACACUUGGCCUCCAAGGUCUAUUGUUGGCUGGUUUUAUUUUCCACUGGAGUAUUCUGCUUUUCGAAACAGCAUAUCUUAGGAGACUUGUACAUUAUUGAAAAAUGAAAUCCCUUUGGAAAACAUCUGUAAAAAUAGAUUUAUCUGAAAAAAAAUCAACUCUUUGAAAUGAACCACUUGAGCUUUUCUAACCCAAACCACUUUUCAAAGAUUCUGCGCUGCCCAGGGGUGCAGUUCUGAGCUCACAUUCAGCGUCACUCAGCUCUCUGCACACAGCAGGGGCACAAAACAAAUCCUUUUCCUGCUGAAGACCAAGG
Long non-coding RNA from Hirundo rustica (Barn swallow), 425 nucleotides. RefSeq lists it as uncharacterized. Lineage: Eukaryota; Metazoa; Chordata; Aves; Passeriformes; Hirundinidae. The record is from RefSeq and is a predicted model, not a curated record. The transcript has 3 exons.